Long non-coding RNA from Alexandromys fortis (reed vole), 2853 nucleotides. RefSeq lists it as uncharacterized. The record is from RefSeq and is a predicted model, not a curated record. Lineage: Eukaryota; Metazoa; Chordata; Mammalia; Rodentia; Cricetidae. The transcript has 3 exons.
CUGAGCCCGAGACCACUGCGCACGCGCGCGGCGUCCUAGCUCAGGGCUCCAGGCGACCCCCGCGCCACCGAUGGCAGCGCCCGCUGCGCCCGGCGCCGGGCCUGAGGUCGCCAGCUUGAACUUGGCGCCCUCUGGAAACUGAACUCUGCGCAGCCCCGAAGGUCAUCUUUGAAACCACCACUCACAGAGAGACUGAGGUUGAGGAGCGAGGAGUUGUCUCUCCGGGCAGGUGCUGUAAUCAACUGGGAGUGGGCGUGAGAACCCAGGUUUGACCUGUGCCACAGGGUGUAGGAGCCUUGACUUUUCUUCACCUACCCCAAAACUUUCUUCGGAAGCUUUCAAGAUAAACCUAAUUGCAAACACUGUGUGUUCACUGGCUCCGGCUCCUCUGCUGUCUGCGGAGCCAGGGCUGGCCGCGGGCCAAUGGGAAGAUCGCGGGCUUUGCCAUCAGCGAGAUCUGGCUUCAUUUCCAGCUCUGCUCCUUACACACACACACUACGUUACCUUGGGCAAGUCACUGGCUUCUGAAGAACAAGCGUGGGGUACAAGCACCGGCCCGGCUACCUGCUUCAGGAGACUGAAGGAACAGAUGGUACAGAGAGUAAAGCCGGAAAGCACUCGGAGAGCGCGUGCGCAACCAUGGAGAGACAGGCUUGGCCCCAGAGGUUCCUGGGGAAGCGACAGCUAAAGGCACAAAACGGACAAACUGAGUCUGGCUUUAUCAGCAAGUCAGCAUCCUAAGAAGAAACACAUAAGCACAAAGAUUUAAUGGGAUGGGGGAAACUGUCCCGAGAUAUUAAGAGUCAAAAGACAGGGUUGGAGCCAUGGCUGUCAGGAAAAGGUGCUUGCCACAAAUGCCUAGCCUGAGUCAGUCGCCUGCACCCACAUCAAGGUGGAAGGAGAGAAUUCAUUUCACACUUUGUCCUCUGACCUCCCUGUGACUCAUGUAUCCACACACACUUUCAACACACACACACUCACUCACUUUCAGCACACACGCCCGCACGCACCCACCCACCCACCCAUGAUAAAUAAAUAAAAAUGAAAUUCAAAAGACAUAAAACGCAAGCAAGAACCCUCGUUCAGACCCCGAUUUUAACAGAAAGGUCACGAAAGGGAUUUCUUUAGAUAGGAAUCAGAUGGGCUGGAGGAAUUGCUACUUUUAUUAAGUAUUUUGUUGGCUGUGGUUAUGUAGGAAUAUCUGCGUGUGAAAUGCCAGAGGAGGGAACAAUGCGAGGACUGGGAUUGGCUUUAAAUGUCUCCCUGGAUAAAGUAGGUGCGGCUGGGUGGCCAAAUCUGAAUUUGGUCUUCGGCACUCUUGUAAAGGCGGAAGGGGAAUCAAAUCCAUCGAGUUCUCCCCUCAGCCCCACCCACGUGCCUGCUGUGGCGUGGGAACCCUUCUUCGUCACGUGUGAGCGCGCGCGCGGGAGCACACCCAGUAAUAAAACGCAUCGAUUUUUUUUUCUUUUAAAGAUUUAUUUAUUUAUUAUGUAUACAGUAUUCUCAGUACUCUGCCUGCAGGCCAGAAGAGGGCACAGAUCUCAUUACAGAUGGUUGUGAGCCACCAUGUGGUUGCUGGGAAUUGAACUCAGGACCUUUGGAAGAGCAGGUGGUGCUCUUAACCACUGAGCCAUCUCUCCAGCCCGAACGCAUCGAUUUUUAAGAUGCAAGACGGAAGUGUGGCAGAGAGCUGCUGGGCCUGGCAGGUCAGCCUGAGCCCUGGAAUGGGUCACUACACACCACUAAACACCUUGGAAACUGUGAGCCCCCCAUAAUACAGGAGUUACAGCUGCUCUUGGUUGUCCCCUUGACUACCAUGUCUGGAACCACUAAAACCUGAGUGACUGUGUACACCUGUGAGGGAUUUUUUUUUUUUUCUUAAUUAAGCCAUCUAAAGUGGGAAGACACACUUUCAGUCUGGAUCUUUGGAGGCAGGAAGAUCCACGUUAAAACGGGCCACACCUUCUGUUGGCAGCCUAUAUGAAGGAUGUAGAAGAAGGAAGCUUGUUCCCUUUGCUGGCUUGCCCUCAUUCUCCCUGGCAAGUCCAUUCCUUCACUGGCAUUAGAGCCCACUUCUCUGGGACUCUAGCAUACACUGAAGACCCGCUGAGACUAAUGAACUGAACAAAUACUAGAUUCUUGAAACUUCCACAGGUAGACAGCCACUGUUGGACUGGCUAAAUCACAGCCUGUGAGCCAUUCUGAUAUAUGAGUGUGUGUGUGUGUGUUCAUUAUAUAAACCCCAUGUGUAUGUAUGUAUGUAUAUAUAUAUAUAUAUAAAAUAUAUAUUCAUUCUGUACGUUCUGUUCCUCCAGAGAACCUUAACUAGUAACAGGGAAGCUCAGUUUCUUUGAGUGGCCCAAUGCCUUCUGGAAAACAACCCUGAACAUGCUGGGGGGCUCUCUGAGCCCCUUAAAUAGUCCCUGUAUCCGUACAACAACGUCAUUUUGCAGAUGAGGCACUGGGAAGUUAGCUUGGGGCGGAGUUGUGUGAUCACCAGGAGCCAAUGGCGCUGGUUAACAAACCACUGUUUUCUGGGCCCCACACUGUGACAUUCAAUUAAAAAUAGCCUCCGACCGGGAAAUACGACUAAAAAGAGGCUGAGCUAUCAUUUCUAUGAAAGCUGGGUUGAAUGCUUUAGAAAGAUUUCACAGUUUCUUUUAAGAAAGUUGCUGAUGAGAAGGAGCAGGGGCUGUCUCUGACUCCGUCGCCUGCUCUGGGACCCUUUCAUCUUACUGGGUUGCCUCCUCCAGCCUUAACAGAGGCCGCGUCUAGUCUCACUGCGACUGGAUAUGCCAUGACUGACUGCUAUGCAUUUUUUCUGAUGAGAAAGAAGUAGUGGGUGUGAGGAUG